CAGAAACUACAAAGGAAUUGACGGGGCCCGCACAAGCGGUGGAGUAUGUGGUUUAAUUCGAUGCAACGCGAAGAACCUUACCUGGUCUUGACAUCCCGGAGACCCUUAGGAAACUAGGGGGUGCUUCCAUCUGGAAGAAUCUGGAGACAGGUGCUGCAUGGCUGUCGUCAGCUCGUGUCGUGAGAUGUUGGGUUAAGUCCCGCAACGAGCGCAACCCUUGCCUUUAGUUGCCAUCAGGUUAAGCUGGGGACUCUAAAGGAACUGCCUACGCAAGUAGUGAGGAAGGCGGGGAUGACGUCAAAUCAGCACGGCCCUUACGUCCAGGGCUACACACGUGCUACAAUGGCCGAUACAGAGGGCAGCUACCUGGUGACAGGAUGCAAAUCUCCAAAGUCGGUCUCAGUUCGGAUCGGAGUCUGCAACCCGACUCCGUGAAGUUGGAUUCGCUAGUAAUCGCGCAUCAGCCAUGGCGCGGUGAAUACGUUCCCGGGCCUU
This 495-nucleotide ribosomal RNA is filed under the name uncultured Sphingobacteriales bacterium. Its description in RNAcentral is "bacterial SSU rRNA". It matches the Rfam family "Bacterial small subunit ribosomal RNA", at positions 894 to 1382 of the family's 1533-position model. Lineage: Bacteria; Pseudomonadati; Bacteroidota; Sphingobacteriia; Sphingobacteriales. The record is from RNAcentral.